Molecule: non-coding RNA, 1396 nt
Organism: Peromyscus maniculatus bairdii (prairie deer mouse)
Lineage: Eukaryota; Metazoa; Chordata; Mammalia; Rodentia; Cricetidae
Source: RefSeq, a predicted model, not a curated record
CUACAAAGUAAGAUAACACAGAAAUUCUAGAAAGCCCCUAAAACUUGAGCCAAUCAGAAUUGUACCCGUACUAGCACCCCUAACUGAUGUAGCCUUGUGGUUUUUUCCUUUAAAAACUGAGCUUGCAGAGGGGCGGGCACCUCCUCCAGCCUCUACUAUAUUGGAUGACUUGUCGAUGUCCUUGCUGUGUGGCUUAAACUGCUUCAAUAAACCUUGCUUUUGCAUUUUGGUGAGUUCGUGUCUCUGGUGGUCUCUUUGGGGGUCUCACACCCAGGGCACAACAUUUGGCGGCUCGUCUAGGAUUUGGGGGGAGCCCAGAGACCCCGCAACCCGAAGGUUUACAACGGCUGAUCGGGAAAAAUACUCUACCUUAUGGGCCUGAUGGCGGAAGAAAAUUAAUGCUGUUCUGACUAGUGCCUCCAACACUAUGGAAUCCUGGAUUUCCAUUUGGCUGGCAGUCACCUCCAAGCUUCAGUUGCUGACUAUACUGCUCCUGAUGACUAUGAACUCUGGACUUGCUAAAAGCUGAUAUGGACCAUCCCAGCCGAUGUGACUGUUUCCUGUCUCUACAUGGUCAGAUAGUCACAUGCUUACAAAUGCCCCAUUGCCCACCCUUUUACUAGCCUUUCAGCCUUUGACUAGCCUUAAAGCCUUUUGCGGGCCCUGACAAUGGCGCCCUUUUGCCAGCUCGAAGCAUUUCCAGAAGAGACUAUGUCAUCCCAUGCUCCCUGUCCAGAAUAAAGUUGAAAUGCUGGGUCAAAAGGAAAUUCCCUGGCAUAGAGAAAUCGUGACUGAGAGACCAGCCAGGGAUGGUUCAAGUCCUGGUUCAACAGUUCUCCCUGGUUAACUACUUUAAUUUCCACCCUAAUGGGCCCAUUAAUAGUCUUGCUUCUGAUACUAACCCUCAGGCCAUCUAUCCUCAACCGGCUGCUCCAAUACAUGAGACAGAGGCUGGGUACAAUUCAGCUCAUGGUACAAAAACCACAAAAAAUAAUGCCCAUGGAGCCCAGGGACACCUAUGAGCUGGCCAUUAGGAACCCAUCACUGGGUUCCAUUAGGCACAUGAGAAGGGGGAAAUGAAGAUCCAAAGCACCCCCAUUUCAAGUAAGCCCCUCACCCCAGCUUGAAACAGGCCUGAGUUUGAAAAUUCUUACAGCUGCUGACAUAGGUUCCAGGACAAAGUCAGGAUGUAUGAAGAGCCAUCUGGUAGCAACUGAAUAACCAUAGAAUGCUCCAAUGCCGGAGAUAGUCUAUAAAGUUUGACAAACAACCAGUCAAUACUACAAAGUAAGAUAACACAGAAAUUCUGGAAAGCCCCUAAAACUUGAGCCAAUCAGAAUUGUACUCGUACUAGCACCCCUAACUAAUGUAGCCUUAUGGAUUUUUCCUUUAAAAA